This 278-nucleotide long non-coding RNA is filed under the name Cyanistes caeruleus (blue tit). RNAcentral's name for it is "lncRNA (ENSCCEG00000014845.1)". Lineage: Eukaryota; Metazoa; Chordata; Aves; Passeriformes; Paridae. The record is from RNAcentral.
UGCAAAUGGAAUCUCAGGUGCCCACCUAGUCUCCUGCAGUGUACUACCAGAAACUAGGUUUCAUUUCAGGCAAGAAAAUAGUAACAUACAUGGAUUCAAAUUGACCUGGGGAGCCAGUUACAAGAUGAACAUACAGCACAGGAAUACACACAAGAAGAAUGCAGGAACCAAACUGUCAAAAAGGGCUACAGCAACAACAUCACACAAAUGGCAUUCCUGAAAGUGUUCCUGUAAUGACCCUUUGAGGACCAAUACAGAGAUGUUGUGAGAACCUGGAA